RNAcentral lists this ribosomal RNA (466 nucleotides) under uncultured bacterium. RNAcentral describes it as "partial 16S ribosomal RNA". It matches the Rfam family "Bacterial small subunit ribosomal RNA", at positions 29 to 507 of the family's 1533-position model. The record is from RNAcentral.
AUGAACGCUGGCGGCGUGCUUAACACAUGCAAGUCGAACGGAAAGGCCCAAGCUUGCUUGGGUACUCGAGUGGCGAACGGGUGAGUAACACGUGGGUGAUCUGCCCUGCACUUCGGGAUAAGCCUGGGAAACUGGGUCUAAUACUGGAUAGGACCACUUCUUGGAUGUUGUGGUGGAAAGUUUUUUCGGUGUGGGGUGAGCUCGCGGCCUAUCAGCUUGUUGGUGGGGUAAUGGCCUACCAAGGCGUCGACGGGUAGCCGGCCUGAGAGGGUGUACGGCCACAUUGGGACUGAGAUACGGCCCAGACUCCUACGGGAGGCAGCAGUGGGGAAUAUUGCACAAUGGGCGCAAGCCUGAUGCAGCGACGCCGCGUGGGGGAUGACGGCCUUCGGGUUGUAAACUCCUUUCGCUAGGGACGAAGCGUUUUGUGACGGUACCUGGAGAAGAAGCACCGGCUAACUACGUG